This 421-nucleotide ribosomal RNA is filed under the name uncultured bacterium. Its description in RNAcentral is "bacterial SSU rRNA". It matches the Rfam family "Bacterial small subunit ribosomal RNA", at positions 917 to 1341 of the family's 1533-position model. The record is from RNAcentral.
GGGCCCGCACAAGCGGUGGAGCAUGUGGUUUAAUUCGAUGAUACGCGAGGAACCUUACCAGGGCUUAAAUGUAAGUUGCAUAGAUCAGAGAUGGUCUUUUCUUCGGACUACUUACAAGGUGCUGCAUGGUUGUCGUCAGCUCGUGCCGUGAGGUGUCAGGUUAAGUCCUAUAACGAGCGCAACCCCUGUCGUUAGUUGCCAGCAAGUUAAGUUGGGCACUCUAGCGAGACUGCCGGUGCAAACCGCGAGGAAGGUGGGGAUGACGUCAAAUCAUCACGGCCCUUACGUCCUGGGCUACACACGUGCUACAAUGGCCGGUACAGAGAGCAGCCACUACGCGAGUAGGAGCGAAUCUAUAAAACCGAUCUCAGUUCGGAUCGCAGUCUGCAACUCGACUGCGUGAAGCUGGAAUCGCUAGUAA